This 694-nucleotide long non-coding RNA is filed under the name Homo sapiens (human). RNAcentral describes it as "HSALNT0242795". The record is from RNAcentral. Lineage: Eukaryota; Metazoa; Chordata; Mammalia; Primates; Hominidae.
CUUUAUCCUGUUUCAGUGAACAUAGUUGUUAAGGAGGCUUGCAUAGAAAAAAAGGAAACCAAAAUAUUUAAGGACUGGUUUUAGCAUUAAUUACAUAAUUUAUAAAUUAUCUUACAUAGUUAUGAAUUCUGAACAAUUCUGAAGGGCCUAAUCCACUUAGCCCUUAACUCUGCUAACAUGCAGGUCUACUUAUCUAUAAAGAGAGGCAACAAUUUGAACAUUGCUAUGGACAUCUGUAGACAUCUUUCAGUGGGAAGCUGAAAAAUUUUCACUAUAGGAAGACAUUACCAUUUCUGGCAAUGGUCAGAUCACCAGAUUCCAGGGGGAGGUCAGGUCCAUGCUCUUUCUACUGCAUCCUGCUGACAAGAAGGGAAAGUGUGGGAACUGAUGGAGGUUCAGCAGGCUCUGUUGUCAGCCCAACAAAAGCACCAAAGAAGUUUCCUGGCUGACAUUUUACUACAUCAUCACGUACGGCGAACUGGAUUGUGAAUGCCCUUAGAUGCCAUUGGAAGGGAUUUAGAUUUCACUUUCUAAGUAGGCAAUGCGAGUCCAUUCAGAGAUUGUGAAGUGGAAGAAUAUCAUGAUCAGAUCUGUGUGGCUGAUGAAUAGAGACAAAUCUGAUGUCUGGGGUUAUAUUAUUGAGAUUCAAUAAAUGCUAAUUCUAUACUUACUUAUUGAGUGCCUAAUAUGUGCA